CCUACGGGUGGCAGCAGUGGGGAAUAUUGCACAAUGGGCGCAAGCCUGAUGCAGCCAUGCCGCGUGUGUGAAGAAGGCCUUCGGGUUGUAAAGCACUUUCAGCGGGGAGGAAGGCGUUAAGGUUAAUAACCUUGGCGAUUGACGUUACCCGCAGAAGAAGCACCGGCUAACUCCGUGCUAGCAGCCGCGGUAAUACGGAGGGUGCAAGCGUUAAUCGGAAUUACUGGGCGUAAAGCGCACGCAGGCGGUCUGUCAAGUCGGAUGUGAAAUCCCCGGGCUCAACCUGGGAACUGCACUCGAAACUGGCAGGCUAGAGUCUUGUAGAGGGGGGUAGAAUUCCAGGUGUAGCGGUGAAAUGCGUAGAGAUCUGGAGGAAUACCGGUGGCGAAGGCGGCCCCCUGAACAAAGACUGACGCUCAGGUGCGAAAGCGUGGGGAGCAAACAGGAUUAGAUACCCUAGUAGUC
RNAcentral lists this ribosomal RNA (465 nucleotides) under uncultured Klebsiella sp. RNAcentral describes it as "bacterial SSU rRNA". It matches the Rfam family "Bacterial small subunit ribosomal RNA", at positions 338 to 795 of the family's 1533-position model. The record is from RNAcentral. Lineage: Bacteria; Pseudomonadati; Pseudomonadota; Gammaproteobacteria; Enterobacterales; Enterobacteriaceae.